AAACCUGAGAGUUUGAUCCUGGCUCAGAACGAACGCUGGCGGCAGGCCUAACACAUGCAAGUCGAACGCACCGCAAGGUGAGUGGCGCACGGGUGAGUAACACGUGGGAAUGUA
This 114-nucleotide ribosomal RNA is filed under the name Niveispirillum sp. SYP-B3756. Its description in RNAcentral is "partial 16S ribosomal RNA". It matches the Rfam family "Bacterial small subunit ribosomal RNA", at positions 1 to 128 of the family's 1533-position model. Lineage: Bacteria; Pseudomonadati; Pseudomonadota; Alphaproteobacteria; Rhodospirillales; Azospirillaceae. The record is from RNAcentral.